This 468-nucleotide ribosomal RNA is filed under the name uncultured bacterium. RNAcentral describes it as "partial 16S ribosomal RNA". It matches the Rfam family "Bacterial small subunit ribosomal RNA", at positions 28 to 507 of the family's 1533-position model. The record is from RNAcentral.
GACGAACGCUGGCGGCGUGCUUAACACAUGCAAGUCGAACGGAAAGGCCCUGCUUUUGUGGGGUACUCGAGUGGCGAACGGGUGAGUAACACGUGAGUAACCUGCCCUUGACUUUGGGAUAACUUCGGGAAACUGGGGCUAAUACCGGAUAGGAGCUCCUGCUGCAUGGUGGGGGUUGGAAAGUUUCUGCGGUUGGGGAUGGACUCGCGGCUUAUCAGCUUGUUGGUGGGGUAGUGGCUUACCAAGGCUUGGACGGGUAGCCGGCCUGAGAGGGUGACCGGCCACAUUGGGACUGAGAUACGGCCCAGACUCCUACGGGAGGCAGCAGUGGGGAAUAUUGCACAAUGGGCGGAAGCCUGAUGCAGCAACGCCGCGUGCGGGAUGACGGCCUUCGGGUUGUAAACCGCUUUCGCCUGUGACGAAGCGUGAGUGACGGUAAUGGGUAAAGAAGCACCGGCUAACUACGUG